This 64-nucleotide transfer RNA is filed under the name Coleoptera sp. ACP-2013. Its description in RNAcentral is "tRNA-Ile". The record is from RNAcentral. Lineage: Eukaryota; Metazoa; Arthropoda; Insecta; Coleoptera.
AAAUAAAGUGCCUGAUGAAAAGGUCUAUUUUGAUAGAAUAGCUAAUGUGAAAUUCACCUUUAUU